GAGUUUGAUCUUGGCUCAGAUUGAACGCUAGCGGGAUGCCUUACACAUGCAAGUCGAACGGCAGCACGGACUUCGGUCUGGUGGCGAGUGGCGAACGGGUGAGUAAUGUAUCGGAACGUGCCUAGUAGCGGGGGGAUAACUACGCGGAAGCGUAGCUAAUACCGCAUACGCCCUACGGGGAAAGCAGGGGAUCGCAAGACCUUGCACUAUUAGAGCGGCCGAUAUCGGAUUAGCUAGUUGGUGGGGUAACGGCUCACCAAGGCGACGAUCCGUAGCUGGUUUGAGAGGACGACCAGCCACACUGGGACUGAGACACGGCCCAGACUCCUACGGGAGGCAGCAGUGGGGAAUUUUGGACAAUGGGGAAACCCUGAUCCAGCCAUCCCGCGUGUGCGAUGAAGGCCU
This 405-nucleotide ribosomal RNA is filed under the name uncultured microorganism. Its description in RNAcentral is "bacterial SSU rRNA". It matches the Rfam family "Bacterial small subunit ribosomal RNA", at positions 9 to 417 of the family's 1533-position model. The record is from RNAcentral.